GGAAGCUCAAAGAGAAGUCACUGGGUUUGAAUUCCCAUGAAUUAGUCACAUCAGCACUGCUGUGUAGAGAUGUGGAGCUUGACCAGACUGAGAAAGAAGCAUGUUUCUCUGACUGAGAGGCACAGUGGGAAAUUUCAGCACACAGAGCACACAGACAAGAAUGCAAAGUUGAUGUUGUGGUCUCUUCUGGAGAAGCAGGGGGUGCAGCCCUUCUCUUGGUGGGGUGAACAGGGGCAUCCCUCUUGCAAUGUGAGAAGUGCCUGCAGUGGGCACCAGGCCCUUCAAAAUCAUUGCUUCCCCCCAGGGGGAUGUAAAUGCUUCCCCUCCACCCACAGCUUCUUAAAAUGAAACAAAGCCAUCAGAUACAAGAGAAGGAUCUGCACUGCGCAUUGAUGGAGGUGGAGAGCUUUUGGGGCCAACACAGCAGACAACAGGAACACUGUUGUGUGUCCCCACUGGCGAUGCUGAAGACUAAACAGAGCUUGUUUUUGGUUCAGCCCAUUGAAAUCUCUUUCACUUGGGAGGAGUAUGUCUCCAUGAUGCUCUGCACGGGUUUUGGCCUACGCACCUUUAACCUCAAUGCAGGCAUCCAGGAAGCUGUUGGAAUGGUGAGCGCAUGCUGCUUACGUGAGUGAGGGCUGAGAAAAGCUGCAGUGCCCUUUCACCACCCUUUUUCAAGGAAAAUGGAAUGAGGAGCUUUCCAUGGCUGGCCUUGAGCCUCUGCUUACUGUCAGCGGCGCGUCCUCCCACAUGCCCCUGUGUCCUUCAAUGCUUG
RNAcentral lists this long non-coding RNA (775 nucleotides) under Gallus gallus (chicken). RNAcentral describes it as "lncRNA (ENSGALG00010019389.1)". Lineage: Eukaryota; Metazoa; Chordata; Aves; Galliformes; Phasianidae. The record is from RNAcentral.